GGAUUGUGGCUCAGUGGUAGAGCACUUGCCUAGCAUGCAUGAGGCACUGGCUUCAAUCCUGAGCACCA
Molecule: transfer RNA, 68 nt
Filed under: Marmota monax (woodchuck)
Lineage: Eukaryota; Metazoa; Chordata; Mammalia; Rodentia; Sciuridae
Description: tRNA.Ala
Rfam family: tRNA (bases 1-61)
About the family: Transfer RNA (tRNA) molecules are approximately 80 nucleotides in length. Their secondary structure includes four short double-helical elements and three loops (D, anti-codon, and T loops). Further hydrogen bonds mediate the characteristic L-shaped molecular structure. tRNAs have two regions of fundamental functional importance: the anti-codon, which is responsible for specific mRNA codon recognition, and the 3' end, to which the tRNAs corresponding amino acid is attached (by aminoacyl-tRNA synthetases). tRNAs cope with the degeneracy of the genetic code in two manners: having more than one tRNA (with a specific anti-codon) for a particular amino acid; and 'wobble' base-pairing, i.e. permitting non-standard base-pairing at the 3rd anti-codon position.
Source: RNAcentral